CCUACGGGUGGCAGCAGUGAGGAAUAUUGGUCAAUGGGCGCGAGCCUGAACCAGCCAAGUCGCGUGAAGGAUGACUGCCCUACGGGUUGUAAACUUCUUUUAUAAAGGAAUAAAGUGAGGCACGUGUGCCUUUUUGUAUGUAUUUUAUGAAUAAGCAUCGGCUAACUCCGUGCCAGCAGCCGCGGUAAUACGGAGGAUCCGAGCGUUAUCCGGAUUUAUUGGGUUUAAAGGGAGCGUAGAUGGGUUGUUAAGUCAGUGGUGAAAGUUUGCGGCUCAACCGUAAAAUUGCAAUUGAUACUGGAAGACUGGAGUACAGUAGAGGUAGGCGGAAUUCGUGGUGUAGCGGUGAAAUGCUUAGAGAUCACGAAGAACUCCGAUUGCGAAGGCAGCUUACCGGACUGCAACUGACACUGAGGCUCGAAAGUGUGGGUAGCAAACAGGAUUAGAUACCCGUGUAGUC
This 460-nucleotide ribosomal RNA is filed under the name uncultured bacterium. RNAcentral describes it as "partial 16S ribosomal RNA". It matches the Rfam family "Bacterial small subunit ribosomal RNA", at positions 338 to 795 of the family's 1533-position model. The record is from RNAcentral.